UUUGUAAUGUUUUUAAUGGGCUUUUCUUUUCAAUCGUGAUCCUUCGUCGUCUGAAACGACUCAUCUUACGGCGUGUUCUUAGGCUUUCCUUCCUUCUUCCAGAUCCUUCGUCAUCUGAAUCGAUUCAUCUUCCGGCAUGAACAGCCAUUGAUUAAACGCCUCCUCUUCAUGUAACGUCUUCUCAAACAUCCUAUAUAUAGAGGUCGUCUAUGAACUGCUCAAUCCGUUGUUGGUCACCUCAUCUGCUUUUGGGAUUCCCGGAACAUCAACAAGAACGGAGAGUUCAUGGGGAUAACGAUUCUGCUCCUCGAUGAAUUGAUGGGAAAAAAAAAUCAAGGUGGUUAUUGAGAUCAAGCAACGAAAUGUGGCUGAGGAAAAUCAGUAAACACAGGAGCUUUUAAAGGAUAGGGAGCAAGCUUUGCAAGAUCAGUUAAUGCAAGCAAAAGACAGUGUCUCCACUAUGCAAAAAUUGCAUGAGUUAGCACAGAGCCAACUUUUUGAACUCCGUGUUCAAUCAGGUUGUUCAUUGACCCUUAAUAUGGUGAACCAGUUAUGUGCUUUCACACGUUAAGCGUCCUAUUAAUUAUUGUGAAAUGUUUUUUCACAUAUUAAUUGUUUUCCGGAUUGGUUAGGUCAAUAUGAUUUGGUUCUCUUAAGUUUCAACUGUUGUUCUUGAUGUCAUUUCUAAUGUUAUGAUAAGCGGCUACUGCAAAUCUAAAGAGAUCAAUAAAACUUUAUAGAUUCUUGAUAUAAUGAUUGUUUUCUUCAUGUUACAGGUUAGUCAUUCUGAGAAUUUUAAGAGAUUCACUUGGAAGAACGUCCUAAACUGCUCUGGGAGGUUGUUGGUUUGUCUAUGAGUUAUGUUAUAGACAUCGAGAAGGUGUUAAAAAUGAUACAUUUUUCUAAAAGUAAGAGUCACUUGCAAAACAGAAGGCAAGAGUGUAAGCUUGGACCAAUCUUAAACUUUCCAAAGGACUCGAGCUGUUAUUUUCGCUCACCUUACGACAAAGAAGGCUUAUGGGUUCUUCUACCGGAUUCAAACAACAUAUGGUACUUUCAGAAGGUUAGCUCCAUGGAUGAAUCUGAAGCUAUGCACACUUCUUCAAGUGCUAUUAGUUUGACAAUGAAAAGUUUAGGAGCCAGGUUGAGGCAAAGAACAAGGAAGUUAGAGAAGGUUAAAAGCUUAUCCAGAUUGGUAAUGGGGAAAUGCUUAAAACCUGCAGAAGGUACUAAAUUUGACUUGCUUAUGAGUUCUGCCUAAGAGAUGCUUGGAUCAGUUGUGAUGAAAGGACAUUACUGAAAGUUGAGUAUUUGAAAAGAAGAAGCGUUUGGAGGGUGAGGUCGCAGAAGAAGGUGUGGAGGAGGAAGAAGAUGAUAAUCUAUAGAAUUAUGUAAGCAAAUAUAGUGAAGACACGUCAAACACUUUGCCCUGGUGUUUGUUCUUCUUUUACUGUAGAUUCUGCCUCUAAAUUUUACACAGUCAAACACUUUACCCUUUUAUUUGUUUUUCUGCUGAUUCCAUAGAUGUUAAUCUCUAACUUUUUAAAAGAUUAAAUAACUAAUUUAGUUAAACCAGUUCUAAAUAAUAAAGAAAAAUGUUAUUUU
Molecule: long non-coding RNA, 1605 nt
Organism: Raphanus sativus (radish)
Lineage: Eukaryota; Viridiplantae; Streptophyta; Magnoliopsida; Brassicales; Brassicaceae
Exons: 4
Source: RefSeq, a predicted model, not a curated record